Long non-coding RNA from Corvus hawaiiensis (hawaiian crow), 2440 nucleotides. RefSeq lists it as uncharacterized. Lineage: Eukaryota; Metazoa; Chordata; Aves; Passeriformes; Corvidae. The transcript is spliced from 4 exons. The record is from RefSeq and is a predicted model, not a curated record.
ACCGUACCGUACCGGGCCGGGCUGUACCGUACCGUACCGGGCCGUACCGUACCGGGCCGUGCCGCGGGGCCCCCGGCGGAGCGGCGCGGAGAGGAGCCCUCCCCGCACCUCUCCGCCGGGGCCACCCCCGGUCGGCGCGUCCCGAUCCCCCACUUCCCCGCAAGCAGGAGGAGGCGGGGCAAUAGCUCCCUCAGCUUUACUUCCCAAGAAGACCCAUGCGGAGCAGGGGGAUUCACUGCUCUCACAGGGGCAAGAUAACAAGGCUCCAUGGAGAAGAAGACCACAUCAAAAAUCACAUCAUCAACCAAGAGGACAAGAACUGCCAGUCUUGUGACAACCACAGUUUGUCACUAAUGAAUGCUCUGUUGGGAGGUCUACAAGGGGCAGCCCUGAACUCCAGCUAAUACUGCAAGUUGGAGCCUGACUGAGCUUAUUCAGACAUCUGUGUCUCUGCGCUGCACCUCCCAGUAUGCCUGACUUUGAGAUGUUUGACCAGCAAGAAGCCAGCUAGCAUCCAGCUGGGCCCACAGUUCAGGCUCAGAGCAUCUGUCUACUUCAGAUGAGCUGUCCCUCAAAGCAGAACAGCUGUACUCCUGUGACUGUCAUCUCAACUAAAGUGCCUGCACAGACACACUGCAAGCCAAACCAGCAGUCAAUAACAGAGACAACUGUAAACAGCAUUUCAUCUCAACUCCCUAUUGCCACAUAUUCUGACAUAUACAUCCCUAAAAAGAACUGGCCUCAGGCUACAUUAUGGGAUUUAGGUCCCAUUUCUGGUUGUGUCUAUACUCACUGUACAGAAAUAAUAGGCUCUCAUGGCUUUUCUGGAAGACGUGUAUGUCACAAAAUGUCUGUUUCCUCCUACAGAUCUAAGAGCAACUUCCCAGGCAAAGUGAGAGAAUACAUAAAUAGAAAUGAAAUACUGUAUUGGGCUUCAGAACACCUUCAUUGAAGGAGUGGGCAGGAGGCAGCAGAUUCCUUCCUACUGCUUCUCCAAGAUGUCACACUAAACUCCUGGUUAAUGUCCUGCAGUCCUACAGUAUGAGCACAAGGCCACAUCUAAUGACCAGAGGAAAAUAUGAUAUUCCAACAUCAAAACACAUCAGGAAAUACUUUGCUGAUUUUUGUAUUUGAAAGAAUUAAGGAGCUGUAGAAUUAAGCUUUGAAAGCCUAGAUUUAUGCUCUGCUCCUCUUCAACCACCCUGAAGUCAUAACUACCAACACCAGAGAAAUAACUAUCAACUUUAUAGGACUAAAAAGUUUCAGUCAUGAACUUAGUUCUGUAACUGUUGAAUGAUAGUCACUGUUCAAGUGAAGCUGCUCAUGUGCAUAAAGAUUUUCAUAUGGGUACAUUUUGCAGAAUCCAAUUUUUUGAGGCAUCCUAGUGAAUAGCAUCUCCUGCUAAAAUCCUUUUAAGCAGCUGUGUGAAUGGAUGUUAACAUGAUUGGAAGAAAAUUCCUCCAUGAAUUAUCUUCAGCCUUCUACAAAACACAAAUGCUAUUACAAGAAGAUAGUGAAAAUGUGUAAUUAGACCUAGAGCUGCAGGUGAUAUGCACUGAGAAACAUUUGGAUAUCUUUCUAGAGAAUGCAUCAUGAUCACUGUUGCCUUCCUGGGGGAAAAGGUGAUUCUUGCAAAAUAAUUGUAAAUACAACAAUCUUAGAGUUACUGUUGCUUACAUUACUGUGAUUCUCCCGCAUGAGUUUUGAAAAUAUGCAAUAUUCAACUCAGUUAUAGAAAUUUCCCUUUAGAUGGCAAUCUUUAAGGGAUUUCAAGGGAAGAGAGGGUUUUUGAAGUCUGUAAUUACAGACAUGAAACACAUUUUGCCACACAGCCCUUCCUUAGCUGUGCUGCUUAAUUUCAAGGCUCAAUGCUGCUAUUAUCAACUAAAUUGCAUACUGUAUCCAUAAUAAAACCAAAUAGGUUCUUCUGGACUGGAGAUACUUAAGCAUAUUAAAAUUAUCUAGUGUCUUUGCUCUCAUUAUACCUACAUGGCUCCCUUAGGCCCCCAAGUAACAAGAAGACAGAAGGCCUAAUGUCUGAUAUUCCUGUGAGUUAAUCCUGCUUACAGCACCUGUAUCCCUACCUAUCCCUCUGUAAACCUGAGAGAGCUGCACUGAGAACAGUGUGAUAAAUACGUGUGUGUGUAUUUGUGUGAUUGACAGGCAUUUUUCCUUUGUCAUAAUACCUAACACAAUUUACAAUUUACAAAUACAUUUUGUGCUUAGACAAGUAAGUGUUGCUGUUUCUGACCUGCUGCCCAGAGCUCCAUGGCAAAAAAAAAAAAAAUUGUCAAAAGAAUUAUCCACUGAACAACAGUUUUGAUAUACUGCAGUUGACAGCACAUUAAUUGUCUUCAGUUCCUCUACUGAACUUAGUCACUUAUUUUUGCUUAUAUACAUAAGGAUCCUCAAUAAUUAUAAUAAAUCCUUGAAACCCUUA